AAUCAGCAGGAACACUCGGUAGCUAGUUCUCUCAUUCGCACUCUCCGACUGUCACUUAUUAGCCACUUCUCCCACUCCCUGACUGUCUCUUACUCACUAGCUUUUUCUCCCACUACCUGACUUCAUCUCACUCCCUGUAACUCACUAUUCCUCUUUUUUCCGCUAUCUCCCUCGCUUUCAAUAAUGAGAUACUAGGACUAUUUGGAUACUGUAAAUAAUGUAGCACUUCACCUCUAAUGUCCCCCAGCAUCGCAUGAAGUCUGGCAUUUGGGGUUUUGGCCAUGUCUUUGAGGUUUGUCAUGUGAGCGCUUAGCUCAGCGUAUUUUCUGUAGGGAACUAACAUCAGCAUUUGUAGUGGCCUGUGGCAUCUGAGUAUUCCCAAUAUCGUUGUAUAGCAUUGUCUCCCAUCACUGGAAAUAAGAACUAACCUGUGCUGGAGGCAUGAAUGAUCUGGUCAUCCUCUGUCCAGGGUAGGCAACCG
Pelobates cultripes (western spadefoot toad) is the source of this 481-nucleotide non-coding RNA. Lineage: Eukaryota; Metazoa; Chordata; Amphibia; Anura; Pelobatidae. The record is from the annotation of a GenBank genome assembly.